CGUAACGCGUAUGCAACCUACCAUCAACAGGGGGAUAACACUUAGAAAUAGGUGCUAAUACCGCAUAAGCGCACAGAGCCGCAUGGCUCAGUGUGAAAAACUCCGGUGGUGUAAGAUGGAUCCGCGUCUGAUUAGCUGGUUGGCGGGGUAGAAGCCCACCAAGGCGACGAUCAGUAGCCGGCCUGAGAGGGUGAACGGCCACAUUGGGACUGAGACACGGCCCAAACUCCUACGGGAGGCAGCAG
This 245-nucleotide ribosomal RNA is filed under the name uncultured bacterium. RNAcentral describes it as "partial 16S ribosomal RNA". It matches the Rfam family "Bacterial small subunit ribosomal RNA", at positions 109 to 354 of the family's 1533-position model. The record is from RNAcentral.